This 341-nucleotide long non-coding RNA is filed under the name Anas platyrhynchos platyrhynchos (common mallard). Its description in RNAcentral is "lncRNA (ENSAPLG00000026858.1)". Lineage: Eukaryota; Metazoa; Chordata; Aves; Anseriformes; Anatidae. The record is from RNAcentral.
UUGGAGCUCUGUGGGUGAGGAACUGAGUAUCACUUCUGCUAAAAUUCAUAGAUUUUAUUGAGAAAGGAUUUCUCUAAGGAACCUGCGGAAUCAGGUGAUGGCAGGACAGAGAUUCCUGAAGAACCUCCCUUUGAAGGGAAAGGUGACCUCUUUUCAGCAACAUAUUAGUGGGUGUUGUGUGGACAGCUGCUGUGACUGCAAGCAUGCAUCAAAACAGUGCUGAAGCAAUCCAGGGGUGGACUGACCUGCUUUGCAGAGAAAGAAGGGGCAGAAGGCAUCUGUUUACGCUUAAUGGCCUUCUUUUUGGGUAAUAGCCCUGGGUAAAGAGAAUAAUAUUAGCU